Molecule: ribosomal RNA, 637 nt
Filed under: uncultured bacterium
Lineage: Bacteria
Description: bacterial SSU rRNA
Rfam family: Bacterial small subunit ribosomal RNA (bases 1-537)
Source: RNAcentral
CCUACGGGAGGCAGCAGUGGGGAAUUUUGGACAAUGGGCGCAAGCCUGAUCCAGCCAUGCCGCGUGCGGGAAGAAGGCCUUCGGGUUGUAAACCGCUUUUGUCAGGGAAGAAACGGUCUGGGUUAAUACCCUGGGCUAAUGACGGUACCUGAAGAAUAAGCACCGGCUAACUACGUGCCAGCAGCCGCGGUAAUACGUAGGGUGCAAGCGUUAAUCGGAAUUACUGGGCGUAAAGCGUGCGCAGGCGGUCCUAUAAGACAGAUGUGAAAUCCCCGGGCUCAACCUGGGAACUGCAUUUGUGACUGUAGGGCUUGAGUACGGUAGAGGGGGAUGGAAUUCCGCGUGUAGCAGUGAAAUGCGUAGAUAUGCGGAGGAACACCGAUGGCGAAGGCAAUCCCCUGGACCUGUACUGACGCUCAUGCACGAAAGCGUGGGGAGCAAACAGGAUUAGAUACCCUGGUAGUCCACGCCCUAAACGAUGUCACUGGUUGUGGGAAGUUCCUCUCAGUACGUAGCUAACGCGUGAAGUUGACCGCCGUCGGGAGGUACGGCCGGCCGACGGUUAGGUAAACGUUAAAACGUUAAGUAAGUUAGUACGGCGUGAGACGUGCCGACGGACGACGACGAGGGAGGUAGG